CAAUUCACAAUACCUAUCGCAUUUCGCUGCGUCCUUCAUCGAUGCCAGAACCAAGAGAUCCGUUGUUGAAAGUUUUAGUUUAUUAACUUGUUUUUCAGACUGCGAAGUUUCACUGACUGGAGUUUUAUGGUCCUCUGGCGGGCGCUGGCCAGCCCCCCGAAGGGCGCCGGUGCGGAGGACCGCGGCCCGCCAAAGCAACAGAGGUAGGUACACAUUGGGUGGGAGAGUCGAGCCGGAGCUCGAAUCAACUCGGUAAUGAUCCUUCCGUAGGUGAACCUGCGGAAGGAUCAUUA
RNAcentral lists this ribosomal RNA (293 nucleotides) under Neofusicoccum parvum. Its description in RNAcentral is "partial 18S ribosomal RNA". Lineage: Eukaryota; Fungi; Ascomycota; Dothideomycetes; Botryosphaeriales; Botryosphaeriaceae. The record is from RNAcentral.